AGUCGAACGGUAAGGCUCCAGCUUGCUGGGGUACACGAGUGGCGAACGGGUGAGUAACACGUGGGUGACCUGCCCUGCACUUCGGGAUAAGCCUGGGAAACUGGGUCUAAUACCGGAUAGGACCGCACCGUGAGGGUGUGGUGGAAAGUUUUUUCGGUGUGGGAUGGGCCCGCGGCCUAUCAGCUUGUUGGUGGGGUAAUGGCCUACCAAGGCGGCGACGGGUAGCCGGCCUGAGAGGGUGGACGGCCACAUUGGGACUGAGACACGGCCCAGACUCCUACGGGAGGCAGCAGUGGGGAAUAUUGCACAAUGGGCGGAAGCCUGAUGCAGCGACGCCGCGUGGGGGAUGACGGCCUUCGGGUUGUAAACUCCUUUCACCAUCGACGAAGGGUUUCUGACGGUAGAUGGAGAAGAAGCACCGGCUAACUACGUGCCAGCAGCCGCGGUAAUACGUAGGGUGCGAGCGUUGUCCGGAAUUACUGGGCGUAAAGAGCUCGUAGGUGGUUUGUCGCGUCGUCUGUGAAAUUCCGGGGCUUAACUCCGGGCGUGCAGGCGAUACGGGCAUAACUUGAGUACUGUAGGGGAGACUGGAAUUCCUGGUGUAGCGGUGAAAUGCGCAGAUAUCAGGAGGAACACCGGUGGCGAAGGCGGGUCUCUGGGCAGUAACUGACGCUGAGGAGCGAAAGCAUGGGGAGCGAACAGGAUUAGAUACCCUGGUAGUCCAUGCCGUAAACGGUGGGCGCUAGGUGUGGGUUUCCUUCCACGGGAUCCGUGCCGUAGCUAACGCAUUAAGCGCCCCGCCUGGGGAGUACGCCGCAAGG
RNAcentral lists this ribosomal RNA (821 nucleotides) under uncultured Actinomycetes bacterium. RNAcentral's name for it is "bacterial SSU rRNA". It matches the Rfam family "Bacterial small subunit ribosomal RNA", at positions 60 to 893 of the family's 1533-position model. Lineage: Bacteria; Bacillati; Actinomycetota; Actinomycetes. The record is from RNAcentral.